AUUGAACGCUGGCGGCAGGCCUAACACAUGCAAGUCGAGCGGUAGCACAGAGAGCUUGCUCUCGGGUGACGAGCGGCGGACGGGUGAGUAAUGUCUGGGAAACUGCCUGAUGGAGGGGGAUAACUACUGGAAACGGUAGCUAAUACCGCAUAACGUCGCAAGACCAAAGAGGGGGACCUUCGGGCCUCUUGCCAUCAGAUGUGCCCAGAUGGGAUUAGCUAGUAGGUGGGGUAACGGCUCACCUAGGCGACGAUCCCUAGCUGGUCUGAGAGGAUGACCAGCCACACUGGGACUGAGACACGGUCCAGACUCCUACGGGAGGCAGCAGUGGGGAAUAUUGCACAAUGGGCGCAAGCCUGAUGCAGCCAUGCCGCGUGUAUGAAGAAGGCCUUCGGGUUGUAAAGUACUUUCAGCGGGGAGGAAGGUGUUGAGGUUAAUAACCUCAGCAAUUGACGUUACCCGCAGAAGAAGCACCGGCUAACUCCGUGCCAGCCGCCGCGGUAA
RNAcentral lists this ribosomal RNA (504 nucleotides) under uncultured bacterium. RNAcentral's name for it is "partial 16S ribosomal RNA". It matches the Rfam family "Bacterial small subunit ribosomal RNA", at positions 30 to 523 of the family's 1533-position model. The record is from RNAcentral.